CAUCUUGACCUGUCUGGCACCUGUCUUUACACCUGUCAGUGACAGAGCACGCCCGAAAGUUCAAGAAAGACAA
RNAcentral lists this small nucleolar RNA (73 nucleotides) under Leishmania donovani. RNAcentral's name for it is "H/ACA box snoRNA LD27Cs1H1". It matches the Rfam family "Trypanosomatid snoRNA TB11Cs4H1". Lineage: Eukaryota; Euglenozoa; Kinetoplastea; Trypanosomatida; Trypanosomatidae. The record is from RNAcentral.